This 253-nucleotide ribosomal RNA is filed under the name uncultured bacterium. RNAcentral describes it as "partial 16S ribosomal RNA". It matches the Rfam family "Bacterial small subunit ribosomal RNA", at positions 524 to 776 of the family's 1533-position model. The record is from RNAcentral.
UACGUAGGGCGCAAGCGUUGUCCGGAAUUAUUGGGCGUAAAGAGCUCGUAGGCGGCUUGUCGCGUCGACUGUGAAAACCCGCGGCUUAACUGCGGGACUGCAGUCGAUACGGGCAGGCUAGAGUUCGGUAGGGGAGACUGGAAUUCCUGGUGUAGCGGUGGAAUGCGCAGAUAUCAGGAGGAACACCGGUGGCGAAGGCGGGUCUCUGGGCAGUAACUGACGCUGGGGAGCGAAAGCGUGGGGAGCGAACAGG